RNAcentral lists this ribosomal RNA (440 nucleotides) under Pseudomonas sp. Its description in RNAcentral is "bacterial SSU rRNA". It matches the Rfam family "Bacterial small subunit ribosomal RNA", at positions 30 to 471 of the family's 1533-position model. The record is from RNAcentral. Lineage: Bacteria; Pseudomonadati; Pseudomonadota; Gammaproteobacteria; Pseudomonadales; Pseudomonadaceae.
AUUGAACGCUGGCGGCAGGCCUAACACAUGCAAGUCGAGCGGAUGAAGGGAGCUUGCUCCCGGAUUCAGCGGCGGACGGGUGAGUAAUGCCUAGGAAUCUGCCUGGUAGUGGGGGAUAACGUCCGGAAACGGGCGCUAAUACCGCAUACGUCCUGAGGGAGAAAGUGGGGGAUCUUCGGACCUCACGCUAUCAGAUGAGCCUAGGUCGGAUUAGCUAGUUGGUGGGGUAAAGGCCUACCAAGGCGACGAUCCGUAACUGGUCUGAGAGGAUGAUCAGUCACACUGGAACUGAGACACGGUCCAGACUCCUACGGGAGGCAGCAGUGGGGAAUAUUGGACAAUGGGCGAAAGCCUGAUCCAGCCAUGCCGCGUGUGUGAAGAAGGUCUUCGGAUUGUAAAGCACUUUAAGUUGGGAGGAAGGGCAGUAAGUUAAUACCUUG